RNAcentral lists this transfer RNA (363 nucleotides) under uncultured Microcystis sp. RNAcentral's name for it is "partial miscellaneous RNA". The stretch from base 135 to 208 matches the Rfam family "tRNA". Lineage: Bacteria; Bacillati; Cyanobacteriota; Cyanophyceae; Chroococcales; Microcystaceae. The record is from RNAcentral.
AAGGGAGACCUAAUUCGGGUAUGGGACGAAAAAAAAGUAGUCGCUACCAAGGAUCAAUCCCAAAAGGUCGGAGCGAGGCGAAAUUGGCUUUCAAACUAGGUUCUGGGUUCACACAAGACCUGAAUCAGGAACAAGGGCUAUUAGCUCAGGUGGUUAGAGCGCACCCCUGAUAAGGGUGAGGUCCCUGGUUCGAGUCCAGGAUGGCCCACCUGCACAGGUGGCAAAAACAAGAGAAGCUCCGAAUCAGCACCUUAUCUUACUUAUAUAGUAAGAGAGAAUGCUGGCUCUGAGUUCAGAGUCCAGAGGAACCUUGAAAACUGCAUAGAGCUAGGUGAAAAAGCCAAAAAAGAAGACCGCAUGCAA